RNAcentral lists this ribosomal RNA (326 nucleotides) under uncultured bacterium. RNAcentral's name for it is "bacterial SSU rRNA". It matches the Rfam family "Bacterial small subunit ribosomal RNA", at positions 28 to 334 of the family's 1533-position model. The record is from RNAcentral.
GACGAACGCUGGCGGCGUGCCUAAUACAUGCAAGUCGAACGCUUCUUUCCUCCCGAGUGCUUGCACUCAAUUGGAAAGAGGAGUGGCGGACGGGUGAGUAACACGUGGGUAACCUACCCAUCAGAGGGGGAUAACACUUGGAAACAGGUGCUAAUACCGCAUAGGUAUGGACACUGCAUGGUGACCAUAUUAAAAGUGCCAAGGCACUGGUAGAGGAUGGACUUAUGGCGCAUUAGCUGGUUGGUGAGGUAACGGCUCACCAAGGCGACGAUGCGUAGCCGACCUGAGAGGGUGACCGGCCACACUGGGACUGAGACACGGCCCAG